CCUGGCUCAGGACGAACGCUGGCGGCGUGCUUAACACAUGCAAGUCGAACGGUAAGGCCCUUCGGGGUACACGAGUGGCGAACGGGUGAGUAACACGUGGGUGAUCUGCCCUGCACUUCGGGAUAAGCCCGGGAAACUGGGUCUAAUACCGGAUAGGACUGCGCGGUGCAUGCCGUGUGGUGGAAAGAUUUAUCGGUGCAGGAUGGGCCCGCGGCCUAUCAGCUUGUUGGUGGGGUAAUGGCCUACCAAGGCGACGACGGGUAGCCGGCCUGAGAGGGCGACCGGCCACACUGGGACUGAGACACGGCCCAGACUCCUACGGGAGGCAGCAGUGGGGAAUAUUGCACAAUGGGCGCAAGCCUGAUGCAGCGACGCCGCGUGAGGGAUGACGGCCUUCGGGUUGUAAACCUCUUUCAGCAGGGACGAAGCGUGAGUGACGGUACCUGCAGAAGAAGCACCGGCCAACUACGUGCCAGCAGCCGCGGUAAUACGUAGGGUGCAAGCGUUGUCCGGAAUUACUGGGCGUAAAGAGCUCGUAGGCGGUUUGUCGCGUCGUCUGUGAAAACCAGCAGCUCAACUGUUGGCUUGCAGGCGAUACGGGCAGACUUGAGUAUUUCAGGGGAGACUGGAAUUCCUGGUGUAGCGGUGAAAUGCGCAGAUAUCAGGAGGAACACCGGUGGCGAAGGCGGGUCUCUGGGAAAUAACUGACGCUGAGGAGCGAAAGCGUGGGUAGCGAACAGGAUUAGAUACCCUGGUAGUCCACGCCGUAAACGGUGGGCGCUAGG
Molecule: ribosomal RNA, 785 nt
Filed under: Rhodococcus sp. BAB-4859
Lineage: Bacteria; Bacillati; Actinomycetota; Actinomycetes; Mycobacteriales; Nocardiaceae
Description: bacterial SSU rRNA
Rfam family: Bacterial small subunit ribosomal RNA
Source: RNAcentral